UAGGGAAUCUUCCACAAUGGACGAAAGUCUGAUGGAGCAACGCCGCGUGAGUGAAGAAGGGUUUCGGCUCAUAAAACUCUGUUGUUAAAGAAGAACACGUAUGAGAGUAACUGUUCAUACGUUGACGGUAUUUAACCAGAAAGUCACGGCUAACUACGUGCAG
This 163-nucleotide ribosomal RNA is filed under the name uncultured bacterium. RNAcentral describes it as "partial 16S ribosomal RNA". It matches the Rfam family "Bacterial small subunit ribosomal RNA", at positions 355 to 510 of the family's 1533-position model. The record is from RNAcentral.